UAUGCGGAACUGUAUUUCGACGGCGUGCCGCCGCCAUCCGUUUUGCAGGUGCCGGGCGCGAUCGAUGUCACCGUCGAAUUCACCUCGAUGUCGAAGACGUUCUCGAUGGCCGGCUGGCGUAUGGGUUUUGCCGUCGGCAAUGAGCGGAUCAUCGCAGCUUUGACGCGCGUGAAAUCGUAUCUCGACUACGGUGCGUUCACACCGGUCCAGGUCGCGGCGACCGCAGCGUUGAACGGUCCGCAGGAUUGCAUCAAGGAAAUGCGCGACACCUACCGCAAGCGCCGCGACGUGCUGGUGGAAACCUUCGGCCGUGCGGGCUGGGNGCGGCGUCGAUGUUCGCCUGGGCGCCGUUGCCGGAGAAAUUCCGGGAGGUCGGCAGCAUGCAGU
Molecule: unclassified non-coding RNA, 387 nt
Filed under: Hevea brasiliensis (rubber tree)
Lineage: Eukaryota; Viridiplantae; Streptophyta; Magnoliopsida; Malpighiales; Euphorbiaceae
Source: RNAcentral